AUUGAACGCUGACGGCAGGCCUAACACAUGCAAGUCGAGCGGAUGAAGGGAGCUUGCUCCUGGCUUCAGCGGCGGACGGGUGAGUAAUGCCUAGGAAUCUACCUGGUAGUGGGGGCUAAGGUCAGGAAGGGGGACCGAAUCCAACAUCGGUCCAGAGGGUGAACGGGGGGGUUCUUUGGACCAAAGCCUUUCUGAUGUCCCUAGGACGGAUUAGCUAGUUGGUGGGGUAAAGGCGUACCAAGGCGACGAUCCGUAACUGGUCUGAGAGGAUGAUCAGUCACACUGGAACUGAGACACGGUCCAGACUCCUACGGGAGGCAGCAGUGGGGAAUAUUGGACAAUGGGCGAAAGCCUGAUGCAGCCACGCCGCGUGUGUGAAGAAGGUCUUCGGAUCGUAAAGCACUGUAAGUAGGGAGGAAGGGCAGUAAGUGAAUCUCUGGCUGUCUUGACGGUACCAACAGAAUAAGCACCGGCUAACUUCGUG
RNAcentral lists this ribosomal RNA (484 nucleotides) under uncultured bacterium. RNAcentral's name for it is "partial 16S ribosomal RNA". It matches the Rfam family "Bacterial small subunit ribosomal RNA", at positions 30 to 507 of the family's 1533-position model. The record is from RNAcentral.